UCCAGGGUGGCAUAGUGGUUUGAGCGUUGGACUAGGACUCUGGGGACCAGGGUUCGAAUCCUGGUUCGGCCAUGGAA
RNAcentral lists this transfer RNA (77 nucleotides) under Phrynosoma platyrhinos (Desert horned lizard). RNAcentral's name for it is "tRNA-OTHER". Lineage: Eukaryota; Metazoa; Chordata; Lepidosauria; Squamata; Phrynosomatidae. The record is from RNAcentral.